Molecule: long non-coding RNA, 1065 nt
Filed under: Numida meleagris (helmeted guineafowl)
Lineage: Eukaryota; Metazoa; Chordata; Aves; Galliformes; Numididae
Description: lncRNA (ENSNMEG00000016437.1)
Source: RNAcentral
CUUAAAUGUAAAGUGUUGCUGUUAUCAAACAGGACCAUGGAGAUGUUAAUUUCCUUCUCCUUGAACGAUGAGAUUCAACUAGAUACAGUAAAAACUGAAAUUAUCUGCAAUAGUUCUGUCACAAGAAACUGUAGGCAUGGAUAUUAUCAAGUUACUUAAUAAAAUCUUAUUAAACAACAAUUAUUAAAUAAAUACAUGAACUCCAGAUUUUGUAGCAGCAAUUUGUAACCAUCUCUAUGACCAAGACAGUCUUCUUGGUCUUGAACUGCGUCUUUAACUACAAAUUGAGAAUCUGCUUUUAGGAGCUACCAGACACUUCAUGCUUCUGAAGACAGUGACUAAGCCAGUCAUCCUCCUUGGAAGCAAUACGCUUAUGCAAACUAUCACUGCCUUUGUUAUCCAUAAAAUUCUUGGUUCCUGCAUAGUUUACCUGAUGACCUCUAACAGCCAAGGUGGCUCUGGUGCACCUAUUCUAACAAUGAAUCAAAAAAUGCUUUGAUUUCAUUCACAUCUUCCUGUUCUACUAUUUAAUAUCAUCUUUUCUUUAGCACCAUUAAGUAAUCAACCUUUCAUUUCCAAAAUUUAAGGGGAAGGCUGCUGCUUCCAGCUAAAAGCAGAAGUCCACUUUGCCCAGCCCUGCAAAAAGAAUAUGAAAUGCCCAGCUGAGAAUACGUGGAUUGUAUGUAUUGGUGCCUAUAAAAUAUGAUGAUUGUUUUCUGAUGGAAGAAGAUAAAUGCCGGUUAAAAAAAAAAGUCUUUACGUUGAAACUGCAUCAGAGGACUUCGAAGGGAUUCUAUCUCAGUUUCUCUGCAAUCAUAAAUUGAAGAGUUAUCCUGACUGCUGCUCAAAGACACGGGUGACUGCAAAACACCACUUCAUCCAAACUCCCACUAACAUCCCUCAUAAUAUUUCCUCUCACAGUCCAAUCAGUUAAGAGAGUGCAAAGAGGAAUAUCAAGAUCUCAGCAAGGCAGAGGAGAACGGUCCUAGCAAGUGCUAUUUCCUGGCAUGGAAAACCAAGCCACUGAUGGUUACUCCGAAAAAAAUAAACAUGGGUCAGCCUGCA